RNAcentral lists this ribosomal RNA (433 nucleotides) under uncultured bacterium. Its description in RNAcentral is "partial 16S ribosomal RNA". It matches the Rfam family "Bacterial small subunit ribosomal RNA", at positions 29 to 507 of the family's 1533-position model. The record is from RNAcentral.
AACGAACGCUGGCGGCAUGCCUAACACAUGCAAGUCGAACGAGACCUUCGGGUCUAGUGGCGCACGGGUGCGUAACGCGUGGGAACCUGCCCUUAGGUUCGGAAUAACUCCCCGAAAGGGGUGCUAAUACCGGAUAAUGUCUUCGGACCAAAGAUUUAUCGCCUUUGGAUGGGCCCGCGUUGGAUUAGCUAGUUGGUAGGGUAAAAGCCUACCAAGGCGACGAUCCAUAGCUGGUCUGAGAGGAUGAUCAGCCACACUGGGACUGAGACACGGCCCAGACUCCUCCGUGAGGCAGCAGUGGGGAAUAUUGGACAAUGGGCGAAAGCCUGAUCCAGCAAUGCCGCGUGAGUGAUGAAGGCCUUAGGGUUGUAAAGCUCUUUUACCCGGGAUGAUAAUGACAGUACCGGGAGAAUAAGCUCCGGCUAACUCCGUG